AGACCCGAAACCCGGUGAUCUAGCCAUGGGCAGGUUGAAGGUUGGGUAACACUAACUGGAGGACCGAACCGACUAAUGUUGAAAAAUUAGCGGAUGACCUGUGGCUGGGGGUGAAAGGCCAAUCAAACCGGGAGAUAGCUGGUUCUCCCCGAAAGCUAUUUAGGUAGCGCCUCGUGAAUUCAUCUCCGGGGGUAGAGCACUGUUUCGGCUAGGGGGCCAUCCCGGCUUACCAACCCGAUGCAAACUGCGAAUACCGGAGAAUGUUAUCACGGGAGACACACGGCGGGUGCUAACGUCCGUCGUGAAGAGGGAAACAACCCAGACCGCCAGCUAAGGUCCCAAAGUCAUGGUUAAGUGGGAAACGAUGUGGGAAGGCCCAGACAGCCAGGAUGUUGGCUUAGAAGCAGCCAUCAUUUAAAGAAAGCGUAAUAGCUCACUGGUCGAGUCGGCCUGCGCGGAAGAUGUAACGGGGCUAAACCAUGCACCGAAGCUGCGGCAGCGACACUGUGUGUUGUUGGGUAGGGGAGCGUUCUGUAAGCCUGUGAAGGUGGCCUGUGAGGGUUGCUGGAGGUAUCAGAAGUGCGAAUGCUGACAUAAGUAACGAUAAAGCGGGUGAAAAGCCCGCUCGCCGGAAGACCAAGGGUUCCUGUCCAACGUUAAUCGGGGCAGGGUGAGUCGACCCCUAAGGCGAGGCCGAAAGGCGUAGUCGAUGGGAAACAGGUUAAUAUUCCUGUACUUGGUGUUACUGCGAAGGGGGGACGGAGAAGGCUA
RNAcentral lists this ribosomal RNA (771 nucleotides) under Salmonella enterica subsp. enterica serovar Virchow. RNAcentral describes it as "partial 23S ribosomal RNA". It matches the Rfam family "Bacterial large subunit ribosomal RNA", at positions 711 to 1484 of the family's 2925-position model. The record is from RNAcentral. Lineage: Bacteria; Pseudomonadati; Pseudomonadota; Gammaproteobacteria; Enterobacterales; Enterobacteriaceae.